AUACGUAGGGUGCAAGCGUUGUCCGGAAUUACUGGGUGUAAAGGGAGCGUAGGCGGGAUUGUAAGUUGGGUGUGAAAUGUACCGGCUCAACCGGUAACUGGCAUUCAAAACUACAGUUCUUGAGUGAAGUAGAGGCAGGCGGAAUUCCUAGUGUAGCGGUGAAAUGCGUAGAUAUUAGGAGGAACACCAGUGGCGAAGGCGGCCUGCUGGGUCUUUUACUGACGCUGAGGCUCGAAAGCAUGGGGAGC
Molecule: ribosomal RNA, 248 nt
Filed under: uncultured bacterium
Lineage: Bacteria
Description: partial 16S ribosomal RNA
Rfam family: Bacterial small subunit ribosomal RNA
Source: RNAcentral